Molecule: ribosomal RNA, 441 nt
Filed under: uncultured bacterium
Lineage: Bacteria
Description: partial 16S ribosomal RNA
Rfam family: Bacterial small subunit ribosomal RNA
Source: RNAcentral
CCUACGGGAGGCUGCAGUGGGGAAUAUUGCACAAUGGGGGGAACCCUGAUGCAGCGACGCCGCGUGGGUGAAGGAGUAUUUCGGUAUGUAAAGCCCUAUCAGCAGGGAAGAACAAUGACGGUACCUGACUAAGAAGCACCGGCUAAAUACGGGCCAGCAGCCGCGGUAAUACGUAUGGUGCAAGCGUUAUACGGAUUUACUGGGUGUAAAGGGAGCGCAGGCGGCGCGUUAAGCCUGGUGUGAAAGUCCGCGGCCCAACCGCGGGACUGCAUUGGGAACUGGCGCGCUGGAGUGCCGGAGGGGUAGGCGGAAUUCGUGGUGUAGCGGUGAAAUGCGUAGAUAUUAGGAGGAACACCAGUGGCGAAGGCGGCCUGCUGGACGAUGACUGACGUUGAGGCUCGAAAGCGUGGGGAGCGAACAGGAUUAGAUACCCGUGUAGUC